Non-coding RNA from Rattus norvegicus (Norway rat), 7742 nucleotides. NCBI's taxonomy places the organism in Eukaryota, Metazoa, Chordata, Mammalia, Rodentia, Muridae. The record is from RefSeq and is a predicted model, not a curated record.
UGGAAAACAAGAUGGGUGUAGAGAGCGGUGCGGCGAAACAAAGAUGGCGCCGACAUCCAGCCUUGUCUGGAUAUAAAUGACUUACUGCGCAUGUGCAGGCUUGUCCCCUUGCUAGGGCUCCCUCUAGUGGUGAACAGCAGUACUGCACAUGUGCGGUUUAUGCACCAGGUGUUAGUUGACCGUUAAUAUGCUAAUGAGGUGAUUCAUUCUCCGCCAAUCCCUGGAGGACAAGUAGUGGGGUGAUCCAAGCCCCACCAAUCCCUGAGAGAUAAUUAGCAUACUGUUGUCUAUAUAAGCCGAGCGAUUUUGCUGCUCGGGGUCCCUGUUCAAGAGAGCUGUAACACUAAGAGAGCUGUAACACUAAGAAGAGCUGUAACACAGUAAAGGCUUGUUCGCAGAAGAAUCCUGUUGCCGCGCGUCGUUCUUACUGGCGGGACAUUAGGGGUUGAAGGUGGGCCUCUCUUGCUAAAGAAAGGAUACAUAGGAAUCAGUGGUGCUGAAACCCGGAAACCAACAUCGUCGGUGCUGAGGGGACCCUUCAGUGUGCUGAAGAGGAUUCAGAACUGCGAGAAGGUAAAUUAAAAGGUAAGCUUCGAGAGGCAUGCCCCUUUUUGGAAGAGAGCAUGUCAGAAACGGAUCAGAGUGAGAAAUUAGGCUUCCGAGAGGCAUGCCCCUUUUUGGAUUUAACAGAGCAUGUCAGAAACGGAGCGGAGUGAGAAAUUAGGAGCGCGCAAAAAAGAAAAAGGUUACUAAAACAAAAGUGAAAGAGAUACAAAAGGCGGAAGAAAUGCCGCUGGAGGAAAAAAUAGGUAUACCCCGGAGGAUGAAGUACAAGUCAUCCGGAGAGGAUACUUUGUAUCCAUUAAAAGAAUUAGAAGCCUUAGAACUGGCUGGCAGUGACUCUGAGCAAGAGUUGUCAGAGUCGGAGGAGGAGGAAUUAGAGGAAGAGGCAGCCAUAUAUGAGGAAGAAAGAUAUGGGCCUAGGUGGAGAGCCACUGUGAAGAAACCUAAAGUUAUGGAUCCUUUGUGGGCAAGGCUGGUAAUUUUGUUUCUUUUUUUCUUUGUGUGGGAUAGAGAAGUCACUGACGGCAAGCUUAAGCCCGGACCAAAACCUCUUGGGCAAAUGGUCCCUGCCUGCUUAGAGGAUAAACGAUGUGAGGAAGCCGUUAGAGCUGUUAGGACAGGUCAGAGGGUCCUUGCAGAACAACAAGAAAGUAUGUCAGAGGGAGAAAAGGUCUCAAAAGAAAAAAAGAAAAGAAAAGGAGAUAAAAGGAACAGAGAGAAGGCAAAGAUAAAAAAUUGGGUCAGUACAGCUUUUGUUGUGGCUCAAGUUGAGGCUAUUGCUAGGUAUGUGAUUAGGCUCUGGAAACCUCACAGAGUCAUACUGAUCAGAUUUGAUAGAGGUAGACCACCUGAAAAUUUAUUCAGGAGAAUCAAACAAAAAGAUAAACUUGAGUGUGCCUACUUGGAUUCCUGGUCUCAAGGAGAUUUAGCAAGUGACAAGGUGCUUCUCUUAAAAAAGCAGUUUCAAUCGGCCCUUGGAGCCCUGCACCUGUAGCUAAGAUAUGUGUAGCCACUUCAAUUUUGUUUUCUGAUUGGUUUUAAAUGUAUAAAUAUUCUCUACAUGCCUUGGUUAUGGACUAUUGGCUUUUAAGUUAUUGGAUAUGGUUUAAAAAAUGUAACAUUGAUAAUAGAAAGUUGAUAUAAAACUGGUAAAAUUUAAAAUAUGCUCAUGUUUCUGUUGAUACCUGUUCCGGUAUUAUACACGCUACUCUGAUGACUGGUGAAAAGGCUCAUAAUGCCAUUAGCCAUUGCUUAGAGGCAUGGGCAGCCUGGAGAAAGCCUGAUAGUCUCAAGACAGACAAUGGGCCUGCCUACACUGCAAAGUUCUUUCAGGCAUUUUGCCAGACAAUGCAGGUCGGUCAUACUACAGGCUUACCAUACAAUCCCCAGGGUCAAGGAAUUGUGGAAAGAGUACAUCGUACCUUAAAAGAGCUUAUACAAAAACAAAAAGAGGGGAUUGCCAACAGCCGAACACCAAAAGAACAACUUUCUUUAGCUCUAUUUACUCUAAAUUUCUUAAUUUUGGAUGCGCAUGGCCGCUCUGCUGCGGAUCGCCAUGCUGCUACUACACCUAUAACUAAUCCAGAAGUAAAGUGGAAGGAUGUCUUGACUGAUGAAUGGCAUGGCCCAGAUCCCGUGAUUUCGAGAUCUAGGGGAGCGAUUUGUGUUUUUCCGCAGAAUCAAGAAAAUCCAAUUUGGGUACCCGAGCAUUUGACUCGAAGAUUGUCUUCUGCUCUUCCUGAAGAUGAGACUACGAACCCUACUAUUACUACUGGGAAUGUUAAUACAGGUUAAUUCGCUCACCCUGUGGGCUAUUGCCAGAUCCUGGCCAGUACCCAUGCCAGUUCAUAGCAAUUCUACUAUUUUGAGAAUAAGACUGACAAGCAUAAUCUCUGGCCUUGGUUUCAAUGGGUGCUGUCCAAUGAGCAAGGGGCAUGUACAUCCCUGACCCCCUUUGCUAGGUUGAUGGGAGAGAACUUCGUGCUGUAUAAUGUUUCAGCUACCAGAAAAAGUUGAUACCAGGUUGAUCAAUAUUCAAUAUAAUAACCUCUUGGUAAAUAAUACUGCCACUAGUACUUCAGUAUGUGCUAGAUCACAUUUUUUCUGAUAAGCACUAAUGUAAGCAGUGGUGCUUUAAAUUGUAAUAGCUCUGAUGUAGUCUGCUAUUUAGCUGAAUGCUGGGAUGGCACCAAUGACACCGCAGUGAUGGUUAAGAUUCCCUCCUUUGUGCCAAUCCCAGUGGAGGCAAACCCAGAUAGCUUUCCUAUUCUUAAUUUGCUGAGAGACAAAAGAGAUUUUGGAAUUACGGCAGCAAUAAUUUCAGCCAUUGUGCUGUCUGCUGCCGCAGCUACCACAGCUGCAAUCGCUAUGACCAAUCAAAUACAGACGGCUGAGACUGUCAAUCAGAUUGUAGAAAGAACUGCAGUGGCACUAGAGAUACAAGAAGAAUUUAAUACCCAUUUGGCAUCUGGCCUUCUAUUAGCCAAUCAAAGGAUAGAUUUAGUUCAAGAACAAAUUGAAGCACUGUAUCAUAUGACACAGCUGUCUUGUGUUUCCUCCCUGAGAGGUUUAUGCAUUAUUCCUUUUUGAGCUAACUUUUCUCAGCAUUUUCAACAGAGCAAAGAAAUCUCGAAUUAUCUGAAAGGAAACUGGUCCAUGAAAGCAGAGCAACUAUCAAGACAAUUGCUGAUGCAGAUUGCUGUCCUCAACAGCACUAGGCUGGACCCCAUCACAGUUGAAGACUUUACCUCAUGGAUUACCAAUGCUUUCUCCCUUUUCAAGGAGUGGGCGGGCAUGUUUGUCCCGGGGAGCUAUUGUCCUUCUGGGAUGCAGAGUAGGUCUCUGGCUUAUUGGCCGUUUAAAAAGAGAACAUGCCAGACACAAAGUGGUUGUUUACCAGGCUAUGACCGCCAUCAAAAAGGGUACUUCUCCCAACAUAUGGCUGGCCUCUUUGAAAGAUCAAGAGUUCGCCCUAGAUCAUUUUUGUCACAGUCAUGUGGAGUCAUUGUAUCCAGGGACGGGCAACUUUCCUCGAACUCGGACCAACCUAAGACACGGGGCCCGGUGGCGAUAGGGUAACUCUAUGACGGGUAAGGCCGAGUUUGGGUGAGAACGACCUAAGACAGGAGCAAUGACAAGAUUGACGUGACACCCAGAUCUAGACCAGUCAUUUUAUUAAACAAAAAAGGGGGAGAUGUAGAGAGCGGUGUGGCGAAACAAAGAUGGCGCCGACAUCCAGCCUUGUCUGGAUAUAAAUGACUUACUGCGCAUGUGCAGGCUUGUCCCCUUGCUAGGGCUCCCUCUAGUGGUGAACAGCAGUACUGCACAUGUGCGGUUUAUGCACCAGGUGUUAGUUGACCGUUAAUAUGCUAAUGAGGUGAUUCAUUCUCCGCCAAUCCCUGGAGGACAAGUAGUGGGGUGAUCCAAGCCCCACCAAUCCCUGAGAGAUAAUUAGCAUACUGUUGUCUAUAUAAGCCGAGCGAUUUUGCUGCUCGGGGUCCCUGUUCAAGAGAGCUGUAACACUAAGAGAGCUGUAACACUAAGAAGAGCUGUAACACAGUAAAGGCUUGUUCGCAGAAGAAUCCUGUUGCCGCGCGUCGUUCUUACUGGCGGGACAUUAGGGGUUGAAGGUGGGCCUCUCUUGCUAAAGAAAGGAUACAUAGGAAUCAGAUUAUUUGAGUUUCUUCUUUUGGUCAUACUAUACCUGGCAUUGCUGUGUUUAUCUAUCCCUCUUAUUAAAUUACUAUUUUCCUUUUAAGUAAAUUUUAGCAAUAAUUGUAGUGUGUGUGUGUGUGUGUGUGUGUGUGUGUGUGUGUGAUUUGUAAAAAAGGAGAAAGACUUUUAAGGGAAAACAUCUCUACCUUUUUCUAGUAGGCAGGUGUUUAUUAUGGGACUAAGUCCCUUUUGACCCUUCAGAUUCACAGGAGGCCAAGAUUAUGGCUCCUCCGAGCUGCUCUCUCCCUUGGACAUCAGCAGUGCAUGAUUUGUGGCUAUGCUGUCAGAGCAGAAACAGUAUGCUCCUCUGGGUGCGGCCCCUCAAUGUUGUCCUGCUGGCUGGAAUCAGCAGUAAUUGCUUGGAAAAUGAUGGUUUAAUUGGCAGAGGUAUCUGCAGUGUUGCUGACGCUCAUAAUGGCAGCUGAUCAAGCUGUUUUCAUCCAUGGUGUCCAGACACUUAGGUCCCAUGCACAGUCUCGUUCACCAUCAUCCAGCUUGUCAGAACAUAGGCAUAUUGUUUCUUGCUGCAAAUUUAUUUCAUCUUGGUGGGCAGAGGUCUGUUUUCAAAGUCCCACAAUGAGAAAUUAAAAUGGAUAUUUUUUUGUUUGAUGGACAUCCAGUCUUCUAUGAUGAUCUCAGCUUUGCUUUUCUGUAUAAUGGCUCUGUUUUUGAAGCACUGUUCUUUAAAGCCUAUGAAAUGUCAUAACUUUGGCAUCUAAUUAUUUAUUUGUACUGGGGUGGAUUUAUUUAAUUUCUGCUCUGCGUACUUAUGAAAACUAUUUCUGUCAGGACAUCAGUAGCCUUGAUGUUUAUUUAUGAUCUGUUUUCAAUAUUUAAUCACCAUUCCCCAGCAUAGCAUUUUUGAGGGAUCCACAUUGAGACACUACUAUGAAAGUGUGGAAAUACACUGUGAUUGACUGUGUUUUUAAAGAGAAGGUUGGCCCCUGCUGGGUAAAGAGUAUGUCUUCAGCACACAUAGCCAUGAGAAUGUAAAGAAAAUGCUGCAUGUGUCCUAAGAUUACAGGUAGCGUUCAAUGUGUUUAUUUUUGGUUAUGCCCUAAAACUCUCAAAAAGAAAAUAUCCUUUUUUUAAAAAACUAUAAAUUUUAUUUCAGAUUAUAGAAAGAAGAGGGCUCCUAGAAGUUUCAAAAAAAAAGAGUAAUCGUAACACAUGGUUGUGAAGCUCUUGUUUUCAAAGCCAAGCUGGCCAGCCAGGACAUGAGUAAGUGAGUUAGUCAACAACACAGCUUCUCUGGCUUGAGAAGUGAAAUAGGUACCUGCUUACUAAAACCCAAAUCUCCUUUGCUUUUUGCUUUCCACUUCUAUUUUAUGUGAAGAAAAAGAAAGGGACACAGUGACCUAAUUAUUAUCAGGUUAGAUCCUGUAAAAGCUUCCAAUAAAUAGGUAUGCUUAGUCAUCCUCUGCAGGGAAACUUUUCCAGCAAAGAAAACAAUAACUGUCAUAAAACAUCAUCAGUGUAAACAACCAAAGGAAAAACUAGGCCAAGAUGUCCUGACCCUAAUGGGAAGGAAGUCCUUUAUAGGGAGGAUGAGACGCACUUGCUGUACUUUAAAAUGAGUAGAGGUGAAGGGCCUUCGAAAGUCUCAAGAACUGUUGCUAGUGCUAGAGGGAUAGCCCAAUGGUACAGUAUUUACCUGAUGGGUGUGAAGCCCUGGAUUUGAUAUACGAUCUCCAGAAGAAUGGGAAGGGGGUGAAGAUUAAAAAAAAACCCGGAAGUAGAUUUUCAGAUACCUUUCUACAUUGCGAUCUUUCUCACCAAGUCUUCAUGUAAGCUGAGGAAGGCCACAUGCUAGUAUCAGAGACCCUGCUUUGGAAUCACAUCACUUACCUGAAAGCUCACUUAGGAGUCUUAAUUGUGUUUGUUUUCUCUCCCAGUCAAAGAAUUAAAAGGCAGGGGUGGGGGGAGUCUCAAGCAUGACAAGGAGAGAAGAGGAACCCAAACCAGGACAAACAGAAGACAGAAUCAACAGUUGAAGAAAGGCAUUUAUUGGAGGUGAGGAAACAGACACAUGCAGCAAGCACAAAGAGAAGAAGAUUCUUCCCAAAGCAGGUGGAGGACUUGGGAAACUGCAAUCCAGUUUCCUCUUGGAGACUUUAUUUUUAAUCUCUGCGAGAUCUUGCUCCCCUAACUUAGGGUUAAUCAGUUUGAAGAAAGAGAGUAUGGUUGAUUAUCCUGGAACGGUUCUGGUGACAUGUACUGACCCAGCCUUUGAACUUGUUGAGUCAGUCCAUCAACAGGAAGCUUGCUGCUAGGAGACAAAAGCCUACAAGGCCUUUGUUUAAGCUGACUUUUGUGUCCAGUCAGGAAGGUGAGGAAAAAGCAGUCCCUCUUUGAAGCUCCCCACCUUUAGUGAGUAACCAUGGUCCCUUCCUUUAUUUACCUUUAUACCUAAUGCAGUAUCCCUUACCUGAGUCUGUCUGAAUCCUAGUUCCUCCCUGCUACUUUUUUUGAUUGAAUUUUGAAUUAGGUACUUUAUAUUUCUCCAGAUGAGUAGAAAACAGACUGUGACCCCAUUCCUGAGGAACAAUCAGGGGCCCUUAAAUUAGGAAAGCCACACAAUACAUUAAGUGGGCUACUGAGCACAGUGAAGAAAAAAUAAAUAAAUAAAUUAAUUAAUUAAUUAAUAAAUCACACAACAAACAGAAAUAGCCUUACAUCAUGUUAUCCAAUGUCCUUAUGAAAAUCAUGUGUGCAUGAAAACCUACACAUACAUACAUACAUACAUACAUACAUACAUACAUACAUACAUACACACAUACAUAUAUACACACAUGUAAGAGCACAUAUCACCCACGAAUCAGUAUUGAUAUACACAUAAUUUUAUAUUUUAAGGUCUCCUGGGUUUCUAAAGCAGUGUUCCUAGAAAAUAGACUAUAUUGCAAAGUUUAGAAUGAUACUCCUUAGAUUUCUGCCUAUAUUAUGUAGAUAAUCCUAGCAGGACUGAUAAUUCAUGCUUAUGUAGUGAAUAGGUCUACCUAUAGGCCACUCAGAGGAACGAGAAUAAAUGUAUCCUGUUUUCCUAUAGACAAAGCAGCACAUUCUUUGUAAAUUGGAGUAUGGAAUGGCAGCCACAGUUUCCUGGAAAGGGGUCUCAUUCCAUAUAUUUCAGAUAACUAGACAUAAAGACCAAUCAAUACUUUAGGAAAUCUACAUUCACAUAUUCAGAGCCACUGCGUCAGCAUCACUGAUGAACGCUCUCCAAGUAAGCUCAAACUACUGAACUGAUGUCAUUGGAAAAAAAAAAAAAACUUUUGUGAUCAGUGUUGCCCAACAGGACCUCUAGAAGAAAAUAACCUUGACCAUCACCAAGCUGAGAUCUUUUCUUUUCUUCUUUUUUUACUUUUUAAAAUGUAAUUUAAUGUGUGUGCAAGCAUUUUCUUUUUUUUUCUUUUCUUUUUUCAUCUUUAUUAACUUGAGUAUUUCUUAUUUACAUUUCGAUUGUU